GAACGCACAUUGCGCCCGCCAGUACUCUGGCGGGCAUGCCUGUUCGAGCGUCAUUUCAACCCUCGAGCCCCCGGGCUCGGUGUUGGGGAUCGGCACAAGGCGGAGGCUCCCCCGGGAGCCCCCCGCCCGCCGUCCCCCAAAUGCAGUGGCGGUCACGUCGCGGCCCCCCGUGCGUAGUAGCAACACCUCGCACCGGAGCCCGUCGUGCCCACGCCGUAAAACCCCCGACUUUUACAAGGUUGACCUCGAAUCAGGUAGGACUACCCGCUGAACUUAAG
This 278-nucleotide unclassified non-coding RNA is filed under the name uncultured Hypocreales. RNAcentral's name for it is "sequence contains 5.8S rRNA gene". The stretch from base 1 to 53 matches the Rfam family "5.8S ribosomal RNA", at positions 102 to 154 of the family's 154-position model. Lineage: Eukaryota; Fungi; Ascomycota; Sordariomycetes; Hypocreales. The record is from RNAcentral.